This 497-nucleotide ribosomal RNA is filed under the name uncultured bacterium. RNAcentral describes it as "partial 16S ribosomal RNA". It matches the Rfam family "Bacterial small subunit ribosomal RNA", at positions 28 to 507 of the family's 1533-position model. The record is from RNAcentral.
GAUGAACGCUGGCGGCGUGCCUAAUACAUGCAAGUCGAGCGAACGGACGAGAAGCUUGCUUUUCUGAUGUUAGCGGCGGACGGGUGAGUAACACGUGGAUAACCUACCUAUAAGACUGGGAUAACUUCGGGAAACCGGAGCUAAUACCGGAUAAUAUUUUGAACCGCAUGGUUCAAAAGUGAAAGACGGUCUUGCUGUCACUUAUAGAUGGAUCCGCGCUGCAUUAGCUAGUUGGUAAGGUAACGGCUUACCAAGGCAACGAUGCAUAGCCGACCUGAGAGGGUGAUCGGCCACACUGGAACUGAGACACGGUCCAGACUCCUACGGGAGGCAGCAGUAGGGAAUCUUGCGCAAAGGGCGAAAGCCUGACGGAGCAACGCCGCGUGAGUGAUGAAGGUCUUCGGAUCGUAAAACUCUGUUAUUAGGGAAGAACAUAUGUGUAAGUAACUGUGCACAUCUUGACGGUACCUAAUCAGAAAGCCACGGCUAACUACGUG